This 460-nucleotide ribosomal RNA is filed under the name uncultured bacterium. Its description in RNAcentral is "partial 16S ribosomal RNA". It matches the Rfam family "Bacterial small subunit ribosomal RNA", at positions 338 to 795 of the family's 1533-position model. The record is from RNAcentral.
CCUACGGGAGGCUGCAGUGAGGAAUAUUGGUCAAUGGGCGAGAGCCUGAACCAGCCAAGUAGCGUGAGGGAAGACGGUCCUAUGGAUUGUAAACCUCUUUUAUCGGGGAGCAAAAGAUGCCACGCGUGGGGUUCCGUGUGUACCAGAAGAAAAAGCAUCGGCUAACUCCGUGCCAGCAGCCGCGGUAAUACGGAGGAUCCGAGCGUUAUCCGGAUUUAUUGGGUUUAAAGGGUGCGUAGGCGGCCUGUUAAGUCAGCGGUGAAAGUUUGUGGCUCAACCAUAGAAUUGCAGUUGAAACUGGGAGUGUUGAGUAUGUUAGAGGCAGGCGGAAUGCGUGGUGUAGCGGUGAAAUGCUUAGAUAUCACGAAGAACCCCGAUUGCGAAGGCAGCCUGCUAAGCCAUGACUGACGCUGAUGCUCGAAAGUGUGGGGAUCAAACAGGAUUAGAUACCCCAGUAGUC